RNAcentral lists this unclassified non-coding RNA (230 nucleotides) under Hevea brasiliensis (rubber tree). Lineage: Eukaryota; Viridiplantae; Streptophyta; Magnoliopsida; Malpighiales; Euphorbiaceae. The record is from RNAcentral.
GCCUAGUCCUUGGGAGCUCCAACAUAAAUAGUUGAGUUAAGCCAACUGGCAUAUAAACUUUUCCAUCACUCCUAAAAAAUGUUAAUUGUAAACCAAACAAACAAAAGAAUGGAAGGGUGAUUAACUAGCAAAAGAUCUUACAAUGGACCCCACUGCACAAGGUUCUUAAGAAUGUCAAACUAAAACUUAUUAAAAAGUUAAAAUCAAAUUAGAGAGAAAAUCAAGUUGAU